Molecule: long non-coding RNA, 1175 nt
Filed under: Marmota monax (woodchuck)
Lineage: Eukaryota; Metazoa; Chordata; Mammalia; Rodentia; Sciuridae
Source: RNAcentral
CAGGGGACACCCUGUGAAUGGCAAGGAUUAUUGCAAUCAGUGGCAGGUGCAUCCCCUGGGAGCUUGUUAGAGAUGCAUAUUCCCAGGCCCCAGACUCACCAAACCAGAGUCUCUGGGCGGAGCCCACCUGUCCGUUUUAACAAUUCUUCCAGGGGAUUCCGAAAUCCGCACCUUCAGUAUCACUCAGCUGUGGAGCUCCUUCUGCCUGAGCGUCAGGAUCACCUUCAGAGCUGCAGAUGCACAAGAGUCUGAAUUAAUUGUUUCGGAUGGAGGCCAAGCACUUUCCAAAUCUGUUUUGAUCUUAACUUUUUAAUUUGAAAUAGCUUGAGAUUUCUAGUAAGCAUUGCAAAGAUGGUGCAGAGGGUCCCCACAAACCCAUCCCCUACCUUUCCUAACGCGAACCUCUCAUGUAACAUCUCAUGGCAGGCUCCCUUGAUUAGUAAGAAGAAAUCAAUGUUAGUUCAGUACUAGCAACUAAACUACAGGGGUUCAGAUUUCACUGGUGUCUUCCCUGUUGCAACCUUGCAUUCAGUUGUCCUGUCUCCUUAGACUCCCCUGACCCAUGACAGUGUCUGACUCUCCUUGUCACUCACGACCUUGACACUUGGGAAGAGGUCAGGUAUUUUGCAGAAUGUCUCUCCGUUUGGCUUUGUCUGAUGUUUUCUAUGAUUAUCUGUGGUGAGGGGCCUUGAAAUAGCAGCACGCAGGUGAAAUGCCUUUCCUACCAUGUCCCAUCCUGAAAACAGGACAUUGAGGUGACUUAAGAGUAUUUGUUCCUUAAAGUUCCCCAUCAGGGAAUCAAUCUGACAAAAGAGGUGAAAGACUGCCACAAUGAAAACUAUAGAACACUAAAGAAAGAAAUUGAAAAAGACCUUACAAGAUGGAAAGAUCUCCCGUGUUCUUGGAUAGGCAGGAUUAAUAUUGUCAAAAUGGCCAUACUGGGUUGGGGUUAUAGCUGAGUGGUAGACUGCUCACCUCGCACGUGCAAGGCCCUGGGUUCAAUCCUCAGCACCACAUAAAAUAAAGUUAAAAAAAAUGGCCAUACUACCAAAAGCACUGUACAGAUUCAAUGCAAUUCCUAUUAAAGUUCCAAUGACGUUCUUCAUAGAAAUAGAAAAAGCAGUCAUGAAAUUCAUUUGGAAAAAUAAGAGGCCCAAUUAGCCAAAGCAAUCCUU